UACGAAGGGGGCUAGCGUUGUUCGGAAUCACUGGGCGUAAAGCGUACGUAGGCGGAUCUUUAAGUCAGGGGUGAAAUCCCGAGGCUCAACCUCGGAACUGCCUUUGAUACUGGGGAUCUCGAGUCCGGGAGAGGUGAGUGGAACUGCGAGUGUAGAGGUGAAAUUCGUAGAUAUUCGCAAGAACACCAGUGGCGAAGGCGGCUCACUGGCCCGGAACUGACGCUGAGGUGCGAAAGCGUGGGGAGCAAACAGG
RNAcentral lists this ribosomal RNA (253 nucleotides) under uncultured bacterium. RNAcentral's name for it is "partial 16S ribosomal RNA". It matches the Rfam family "Bacterial small subunit ribosomal RNA", at positions 524 to 776 of the family's 1533-position model. The record is from RNAcentral.